UACACAGAUCAGUAUUUUGAUAUGUUGUUUGUUGUAGCUGGGGCUAGGAGGCAGGAAGUCAGCUCAAAAACAAGCGAGCUCAUGACGCAAGGCAACAUUAUCAUUUAAUUUCUCUGUGUCCUGUUUACCCACUCUUAAAGAUGAAAGCGCUGACCUGCUUCACACAGAUGCCAUCCAAGGGAUACUUAGAGUGCUCUGGAGACACCACGCCCUUAGCAGCAGCCCAACUUUCUCGUGAACCAGGCUGAUGAAAGACAAGAUUUAUGGCUGAAAAGAAAAGUCGGCUGACUGCAGAGGCCUGGUAGCAGCAUUGCCUGUACCCAGGUGGCCAUGUUGUUUUGGGAAGCUGUGAAACCUUCAGGAGGAGGAGCUCUUGCUGGAGGAACUACGUCUCUGGAGGAGACUGGCAACCAAGGUUUGGACCCUGCCCCACCUUCUGUGCUGUUCUUCUUGACCUUGGAGAUGUGAGCAAGCAGCUGUCCCAGGCUCCUACAGCCAUGGGGGCCAGGGA
Long non-coding RNA from Mus musculus (house mouse), 511 nucleotides. RefSeq annotates it as predicted gene, 40385. NCBI's taxonomy places the organism in Eukaryota, Metazoa, Chordata, Mammalia, Rodentia, Muridae. The record is from RefSeq and is a predicted model, not a curated record. The transcript has 3 exons.